UACGGAGGGUGCGAGCGUUGUCCGGAAUCAUUGGGCGUAAAGGGCGCGUAGGUGGCGGCUUAAGCGUGCGGUGAAAGCUCGGGGCUCAACCCCGAGUCGGCCGUGCGAACUGAGUCGCUUGAGCACUGUAGAGGCAAGCGGAAUACCCGGUGUAGAGGUGAAAUUCGUAGAGAUCGGGUGGAACACCAGUGGCGAAGGCGCCUGUCUGGCUGACAACUGACGAUCAGGCACGAAAGCGUGGGGAGCAAACAGG
Molecule: ribosomal RNA, 253 nt
Filed under: uncultured bacterium
Lineage: Bacteria
Description: partial 16S ribosomal RNA
Rfam family: Bacterial small subunit ribosomal RNA
Source: RNAcentral